Molecule: ribosomal RNA, 254 nt
Filed under: uncultured bacterium
Lineage: Bacteria
Description: partial 16S ribosomal RNA
Rfam family: Bacterial small subunit ribosomal RNA
Source: RNAcentral
GACGAACCGUGCGAACGUUAUUCGGAAUCACUGGGCUUAAAGCGCGUGUAGGCGGGCCGCCACGUCGGCUGCUGAAAUCCCCCGGCUCAACCGGGGAAGUGGCACCGAUACGAGCGGCCUCGAGGGGGGGUAGGGGGGUCUGGAACUUCCGGUGGAGCGGUGAAAUGCGUUGAGAUCGGAAGGAACGCCCGUGGCGAAAGCGAGGCCCUGGACCCUUACUGACGCUGAGACGCGAAGCCAGGGAGCGAAGCGGG